Molecule: ribosomal RNA, 386 nt
Filed under: uncultured bacterium
Lineage: Bacteria
Description: bacterial SSU rRNA
Rfam family: Bacterial small subunit ribosomal RNA
Source: RNAcentral
AUUAAACGCUGGCGGCAUGCCUUACACAUGCAAGUCGAACGGCAGCACGGGGGCAACCCUGGUGGCGAGUGGCGAACGGGUGAGUAACGCAUCGGAACGUGCCCUGGAGUGGGGGAUAACGUAGCGAAAGUUACGCUAAUACCGCAUAUUCUGUGAGCAGGAAAGCAGGGGAUCGCAAGACCUUGGGCUCUGGGAGCGGCCGAUGUCGGAUUAGCUAGUUGGUGGGGUAAAGGCCUACCAAGGCGACGAUCCGUAGCGGGUCUGAGAGGAUGAUCCGCCACACUGGGACUGAGACACGGCCCAGACUCCUACGGGAGGCAGCAGUGGGGAAUUUUGGACAAUGGGCGCAAGCCUGAUCCAGCCAUGCCGCGUGAGUGAAGAAGGCC